Pipistrellus kuhlii (Kuhl's pipistrelle) is the source of this 1025-nucleotide long non-coding RNA. RefSeq lists it as uncharacterized. The record is from RefSeq and is a predicted model, not a curated record. Lineage: Eukaryota; Metazoa; Chordata; Mammalia; Chiroptera; Vespertilionidae. The transcript is spliced from 2 exons.
CUGUGAGACGGGGCCAACAGCAUACAGUCAAGUCUUAAAACGAAUUUGAAAGCUUGGUGUUGAGUGAUGAUCAGAAUUUGGUGUGUUACCCUUGGUUUUAUGCUGGUUUCCUUCUUCCCUUUUUUGUUAUAUAGAUUUAUUCUUUAUAUAUAUCAUUAAAAACCUGACUCCAUUUAAAGGUGUGUGAUGCAAGGGAGAGUCCUGUACAAUAAAACUGGACAGGUUUGACCUGCCGCCUCCCUCAGGCUGGCUGCUAAGGGCUCAGCACGAGGGGUUAUCUGUGGUGUGAGGGUCUGCACCAGGCAGGCGGGCCCUGGCCGGGGUCUCAGGGCACGCAGCCCUCUGCUUAUCUUUCCUUUAGUUUUUUUAAUACCAGGGGCAAGUUUUGAUGAAUGUAGGUCAUGCAUUUCUGAAAUCCAGUUGCUAGCUUUUUUGACUGGGUUGAUAACAUUAGCAAAUGCAAUGUUUUAAAAACCUUUUUCUCACAGAGAAAGAAACCCUGUUGUGACCGCUCAGAACUGUGACAGAAUAGAUGUCCGGCUGAAUAAUUUAAACUAUAUGUGGCAUUUGAAAAGUUAUUGCAAAUUAGCUUUAACAAAUCAAUAGUUGUUAAAUGAAGGGGUAAAUACAUUUUAUUUUGCAUAAGCUCAGGUGUCAUGUCUCUUGCAUGACACUGUUGUGGAUUUGUAAAAUGUGUUUUACCAAGUUGCAUUAAUUACAACUACUAAUUUUUAUAAUUUCAUAUUUGGUGGUAAUUUUUUUUUAAUAAAUAGGAAAGAAAAACAUGCCUGUUACUCUGCUUUCCCCACCAGACUGUAGGCUCUCUAAGGCAAAGCAGGCUUGUCUUUCCUGAUGCCCAGCACCUCAGAGCGGCUCUCACAGGCACUCAGAGUCCUCAGGGAAUGACAGUUAUAAGCACAUGUUUCCUUCUCGGUUCUGUAGUGCCUCUGGGAACAGCACCAGGUCUCUCUUUUUCUGUGGUUUUCACCAUAUCAAACUCACUACUCCCCUCCUUUAUGUUUUUU